CCCUUAGAUGUUCUGGGCUGCACGCGCGCUACACUGAUGCGCUCAACGAGUUUACGAACUUGCCCGGAAGGGUUGGUUAAUCUUUUUAAAACGCAUCGUGAUGGGGAUAGAUUAUUGCAAUUAUUAAUCUUCAACGAGGAAUUCCUAGUAAGCGCGAGUCAUCAGCUCGCGUUGAUUACGUCCCUGCCCUUUGUACACACCGCCCGUCGCUCCUACCGAUUGAAUGGUCCGGUGAAAUGUUCGGACCGCGACAAGGCGGACGGUUCGCUGUCAGCUUUGCUGCGGGAAGUUCAUUAAACCUUAUCAUUUAGAGGAAGGAGAAGUCGUAACA
This 331-nucleotide ribosomal RNA is filed under the name uncultured eukaryote. Its description in RNAcentral is "partial 18S ribosomal RNA". It matches the Rfam family "Eukaryotic small subunit ribosomal RNA", at positions 1470 to 1796 of the family's 1831-position model. The record is from RNAcentral.